Molecule: ribosomal RNA, 312 nt
Filed under: uncultured bacterium
Lineage: Bacteria
Description: bacterial SSU rRNA
Rfam family: Bacterial small subunit ribosomal RNA
Source: RNAcentral
CCUUAUAGUAUCCAUCUCGUAUGGAUUAAAGCUUUAUGCGCUUUGGGAGGGGCCUGCGUUUGAUUAGCUAGUUGGUGAGGUAAAAAGCUCACCAAGGCGACGAUCAAUAGCUGGUUUGAGAGGAUGACCAGCCACACUGGGACUGAGAUACGGCCCAGACUCCUACGGGAGGCAGCAGUAAGGAAUCUUCCACAAUGGGGCAACCCUGAUGGAGCAAUACCGCGUGCAGGAUGAAGCGUUUCGGCGUGUAAACUGCUUUUAUCACCGAAGAUUAUGACUGUAGGUGAAGAAUAAGGACCGGCUAACUACGUG